AUGCAGAUCUUCGUGAAGACGCUGACGGGGAAGACGAUCACGCUCGAGGUGGAGAGCAGCGACACCGUCGACAAUGUCAAGGCCAAGAUCCAGGACAAGGAAGGCAUCCCACCAGACCAACAAAGGCUGAUUUUUGCUGGAAAGCAGCUGGAAGAUGGACGGACAUUAGCUGAUUACAACAUUCAGAAAGAGUCGACACUUCAUUUGGUCCUGAGGCUGAGGGGUGGGACUAUGAUCAAGGUGAAGACACUCACUGGUAAGGAGAUCGAGAUCGACAUCGAGCCUACCGACACAAUUGAUAGGAUCAAGGAGCGCGUCGAGGAAAAAGAGGGCAUCCCCCCUGUUCAGCAGAGGCUCAUUUAUGCUGGAAAGCAGCUUGCUGACGAUAAAACUGCUAAAGAUUACAACAUUGAAGGUGGUUCAGUUCUCCAUCUCGUGCUUGCUCUGAGGGGUGGUCACUAG
RNAcentral lists this ribosomal RNA (462 nucleotides) under Triticum aestivum (bread wheat). RNAcentral describes it as "partial small subunit ribosomal RNA". Lineage: Eukaryota; Viridiplantae; Streptophyta; Magnoliopsida; Poales; Poaceae. The record is from RNAcentral.